ACUCAAAGGAAUAGACGGGGGCCCGCACAAGCGGUGGAGCAUGUGGUUUAAUUCGAUGCAACGCGAAGAACCUUACCUGGGUUUGACAUCCUCUGACAGCUCUAGAGAUAGAGAUUCUCCUUCGGGAGCAGAGAGACAGGUGCUGCAUGGCUGUCGUCAGCUCGUAUCGUGAGAUGUCGGGUUAAGUCCCUUAACGAGCGCAACCCUUGUCCGUAGUUGCCACCAUUUAGUUGGGCACUCUAUGGAGACCGCCGGUGUUAAACCGGAGGAAGGUGGGGAUGACGUCAAGUCCUCAUGGCCCUUAUGUCCAGGGCUACACACGUGCUACAAUGGCCGAUACAAAGGGUUGCUAACCCGCGAGGGGGAGCUAAUCUCAGAAAGUCGGUCUCAGUUCGAAUUGAAGUCUGCAACUCGACUUCAUGAAGCUGGAAUCGCUAGUAAUCGCGGAUCAGCAUGCCGCGGUGAAUACGUUCCCGGGCCUUGUACACACCGCCCGU
RNAcentral lists this ribosomal RNA (497 nucleotides) under uncultured bacterium. RNAcentral describes it as "partial 16S ribosomal RNA". It matches the Rfam family "Bacterial small subunit ribosomal RNA", at positions 899 to 1397 of the family's 1533-position model. The record is from RNAcentral.